GUUUGACAGUAAUGGAAAAGUGAUACGAUCACGGGGAUGUCUACUUGCCAACUGCAAUUAUUAAAGCUCAUCUGAAGCAAACCAUGGGGAAGGGCCAUAGCUCUGUAGUGCAGCAUCUGCACUGCAUGGAAAAGGUCCCAGGUUCUGUUCCCAGCAUAUCGAGGUUGGGCUGGGAUUGUCCCUAGUCUGAAACCCUGGGCCUACGCUACUAAGCUAGAUGGGCCAGUAGUCUAACCUGGUAUAAGAGAGCUUCCUAUGUUGAUUGGUUGGUUGGCAUCCAUCUGUCUUGGGAGACAAUGGAGGAGUGCACCUUUGAUGGUGAGGUCAAACUGCUGGCAGGUUGCAGCGCCUGCUGUAGAUGUAGAGACCAAUGCAGGAGAGACAUGCUUUGUUGCAGCUGGGGCAGAGGAAGGUGUCCAGUUGUGCUUCUGCAGAAGCACCGUGGUGUUUGUUCUUGCAUAAAGGUGACAGCUUAUAAAGUUGCCUUCAUUAAAGCAAAAUCAAUGGCAAGUGGGAAGACAGAGUGGUUAAAUGGUUGGACUAGGACUGGGGAGACCCAGAUGCAGAUCCCCCCUCACUGGAUAACCAUUGGGCAAUCCCUAUCUCUCAGCCCAAACAUUUUUCAUAAGGUUGCUGUGAGGAUAAAAGAACCAUGUAUGUUGCCACAAGUUCCCUGGAGAAAUGACAGAUUAUAAACAUAAUAAAAUAAAUACUUUUGGAAGGUCAUAAAUUCUAGCCUCGCACACACUGAACAUAGUCGCUAGCACAAAAUAAUACAUGAAGGGAGCUUACUCAACUUGGGUAAUGUCUUCUGGGAAGCCAGUGUUUAAAAAGGAGUUUAUGACUUUAUAGUGCUGGGACAAGUAACAUUGACAAAGGCUGAAGUUGACAACAAGAAACCUGAUUUCAUUGAUGUUGUUUGAUACUGUCUGUCCUGUUUUAUUAUGUCUACUAUAUGCUGCUUUGGCUUUGGAUAUUUUAUUGGAAAGGUGUGAUAUAAAUCUUAGUGAUAAAUAAUAAUAAACAUAACUCUACAGCAACCAUCCUCCGCUCUAGUGCAGCACUAAAUGAGAACUUGGCUCCUACACCAUAACAAGCUCUCCUCCUUUCAGUGUCCUGCUAGAUGCAAGGCUGCCAGCUUGGAAGGCUUUAAAAGAGGAUUGAGCAAAUAUCAGUGGCUACAAGUUACGAUGGUUCUGGUCUACCUACUCUGUAUGAUGUUUCUGCAUACCAGUGGCUGGCAAUUGCAAUCGGGAAGAGUUGUUGCACUCUGUUCAGCCACUGUGAAAGCAGGCUACUGGGCUAGACAGACCUUUGACCAGAACCAAACGGGCUUUGUGUGUGUUUGUGACGGUAGGGACAAGCCUCAAACCUGAGUUAUGGGACUGUACACAUGCAAUAUUUCUUUUCUACAGCAGCCUUCACUAAGCUGGUGUCCUCUGGAUGUUUCAGACAAUAUUAGCUGUGCUGACUGGGGGAUCUGGGGAGCACCAAAUUGGAAAAGGCUGCAUAAAGGAAUAUAUGCUACACCAUGCUGAGCCACAAUGUGGUUUGGAAGCGGCAGCUAGCCCAAGAUGCAGCUACCAAGGAGCUUAAGUGGGAUGCUCAGCCUUUCACUUUGGACUAAAAGGAUGAAAAUGAAACCCAAAAAUACAUAAUAAAAAAAAUCAAAAUGUGUAUCAUUUUAUAGAUUAUUUUUAUUAAGAGUGGUGCCAAGGGCACCUGUCAUUAAGUGACCACUGUGGGGUGUGUGGCAUAACACACAGUGUCUGCUGUGGGGGCAUGGCAUAGUACCAAAUUAGAGAAAGCUGGAAGAUCUGCACUGGCUGCCUUUUAGGUAAUGAGCCAAGUUCAGGGUUUUGUUGUUGACGUUUGCAGCCUAAACAAUGUGGGACCAGGAGAUCUAGCAAACUGCCUCCCCUAGUACAUACCGAGCUAAUCUUUUAAGAUCCUCGGAUGAGACCUUGUUGAUUGUUCCAAAACCAGCGAAUUGUUCUUAGGGCAGGAUUCAACUAAGUUGUUGCAUGCACAGAAUGAGGUCUUCUCACACAAUGGGACUUUGCCUUCCCAUCUCUCUGUACCCUGAAUCAGCUCUAAGGGAUUGGAUGAACACCCAGAAAGGGUUUAUGGAGCAACUGGGUGAGGAAAGGGAGGCAUGCAUACCCCACUUAGUGCUAUGUUCAACUCCACCCUCAGUGAUGCGAUGGAAGUGGGGCUUCCUGGUGGUAACACGCUCCCUCUGGAAUGCCCUGUAAUACAUGAGGCAGAGGGAGUGAUGACCUUUAAGCAGCUCUCAAAGACAUAGGGUUACCCAGGCUUGGGGGGGGGCUGCCUUUAUUUUUAUUUUAUUUGUUACGUAUGCUGUUCCCAUUUCAUUUAUGAGAUACGUAUCAUUUUUAUCUAGUUUUUGGUAAUUUGAAUGCAUUUUUUAUUAUGUUUUUGUAAAUGGUUAGAGAUUGUUAUCAUUUGAAGUGGUAUACAAUGGUACCUCCGAUUACGAACGGGAUCCCGAAAACUUUGUAACUGGAGGCACCUUUCUGUGCACCCAUGCGGCGCAAUUGAGUGCUUCUGCGCAUGCGUGCAUGGCAAAACCCGGAAGUAUACACUUCCAGAUUUGUCGCGUUUGUAACCCGAAGUUUACGUAUCCAGAGGGAUACGUAAGCAGAGGUACGACUGUAUAUAUUUUUAACUAAAUGUUAUGUACUGAGUUGAAUAGGAUCCAAAAUGCAGCAGUCUGAUUGGUCCUAGAACAAUAGGAUUCAGAAUGCAGCAGUCUGAUUGGUCCUAGAACAAUAGGAUUCAGAAUGCAGCAGUCUGAUUGGUCCACAGGAGCCACCCAAUCCAUCUCCAGGUGGAAGUGAAUCCACAACCUGAAUGGCCUACAGGAGAAUCCCAGAAUUAGCCAAUCACGUGGGGCCCAUUGUGUAAAUAAUGUAUAUAAAGCAGACAUUCUGGGGGAACUUCCAUUCCUCCUCACCACUAUGAGCUGAAUAAAGAGCAUGAAAUACUCGACUUCAAGUAUAUUUCACUAAAUAAUUAUGAACAAACUGUCAUUUAGCACUACAUGGACAUAGCACUGAAUGAGUGUGCGCAGAGCGUUGAGUUUACACGCCUCCCUCCUGCAUGGCUGGGCAAAGCUCUUUGGCAGGAUUUUGUUUCUGUGUUAAAGAAACCCAGCUGGGUUGUUAAACCAACCGGAGCUUGUUUUGUACUAGGAUCCCUGGUUUGAGUGUAACGUUAAGCUAGGAUUCUUUAAAAAAUAAAAGUAAACUCCACCAAAGCUGUCCACACGACUGUGCAGGAUACGGACUGUGUGAGUCUGAUGGCUAAAACCCUGGUUUUGUGUUACAUAUCAGCCUUUUCAGUGUCUUGCCUCUGCUCCCACCCUUGGAGUAGUCCCAAGACUGCUUCAAUGAGUUAAACUUGCAUUUCUUCUGUAGCAAUCGCUGCAAUAGGCUUCAUGUCCAUUUUGGUUUACAUCAAUUCUGGUCUGCAAGUCAGAUGACCUUGAUUCUUUGAUUAAAGAAUAGGAAGAUUAACAGUUGGGUUUCUUUGACCUCUCAUUUUCAUGCUGCCUGAAAAGCUGUGUCUCUAGAGAAUCUCUAAAAAAUUGGUUAAAGGUGUGGAAAGAAAUCAAAGUUGUAGUGAUGCUGCAUAUAACUUAAGAUUGCUUUGGGCUUUCUCUUAUCCUGAAAGGAAUCCUAUAUCCCCACAGUAUUAUCCCUUCUAGUUGCUAUUUUACAUAAUAUGUUUGGUUUAGUGCCAGUUGCACUGGUUGAGUUUGCAAUUUCAUCCCAGGGGAAAGGGGAAGUAAUGUGAGCAGAAGAAUAUUGCCAGCAUACUUAAUCUAUUGACAUUUAUUCUUAGGGACAUAUCAGCACUGGCUGUCAAUUCACACAAUACUUCCCUCCCCCCCUUGCAAGCAGCUGGUAUAAUUGUUGCAGGAAUAAUACAAAACUGAUGCCAGCCAUAUCCAUAAUAGGCUGGUUCAUAUACACAUGUCCUUUUCUAUGCAUGCGUAGUUACUUGCAUACAUUUAAAAGAGUAUUCUGUGAUCCUGCCAUUAGCUGUGUGUGUGUAUCCUGCACAAAGCUCAGCUGUAAAUAACACGUCUCUUUAAAUUUCAUAAAUUAUUUGCUAAUUUUUAAAAUCCACAAAAUAAUAAUAAACUGAUUGGCUGAUUGAAGAGUGUUCAUAGGAAAGUGAUUCAGAAGUCUAAAGAGUUCACAUGUUCAAAAUACAAAAAGCCAAAUGUUAUUUCAGUUACAGGACAGUUGUUCUUGGGGAUAAAGGCAAGAGAACAAUUUCAUCAUAGUUUACAAAUUCUGAAUUUUGUCACUGAUCUGUCAUUCUGUUUUUAAAGGGAUGGUGUGAUUAUUAGCCACUGAACAUAACUUGAUUUUCAGGGUGGGGUUAUAAAUAUUGUUAGUGUCAUCUUACAGUACAGUUCAGUAAACAACAUGUAAAUAUGAUAUUAAGGGUUUUUCCAAAAAAGGGCGCUGCAAAAUAAAACCACUCUGUGUGUAUCUCUUCUCCUCCUUUUCCUAAUUAAUUAAUUAAUUAAUUGAGUCAAUAGGACUUCUUUCCAUUAAAUUUAAUUCAGGUGGCUACCAAGUAAUUUAUGUAUGUAAUAGAAAUGGAGCUUUAUAGUUUAUUGACAACUUCUUUUCUUAAGAGGUCUAAUGUGUUAGCUGGAAGUCAAGCAUUAAUCCACUCUAAAGUGCCUGUGAGGCAGCUGAUGACUCACUGAACAGACUUGAAAGUGUCAACAAAAAAGUGGGGCCCUUCCAGCUGAUUCUUGUCUUAAGUCAAGAGCCAGCUUACCUAUGGUCUAGCCAAACCCUGCAACCAUGCUGACUAAUAAGACCUCCUCCCAUAAAUUUAGCUACCCAUUUCCAGUCAAUGGGACACAAUUUUUUGAUUUCUUUUAUUCAGUUUCUGGGAUUGUGCUGUAGACUUUUAUUGGUUUCUUUCACACAAAAAGGGGGGGGAGUGUGCCUCCCUCCCCGACAUUUUUGCGUAUUUCCUUUAUUCGUUUUCAUCUGCUUUACUGGAAAAUACUUGGCAUCGCCACCUCCUUUCUUCCAGUUUGCAUCUCAGGUUGCCUUUGGACAGCCUGCACUCCCCAGAAGAUAUGUUGCUUAUGUGCUUCCAGAGAAACAGAUUCGUCUUCAACAGCUUCCCAUUCCCCAAUACAUCUGUGAAAUAUCUAGCGAACACAUGAUGCCAAGACGAAUUUGAACUCUUUGGUCCUGGCAGCCUUACCUUGUCAACACUACAGAGCUUUCGACCAAGGUGUACCUCUCUUGAAUGUGCUGGCUCAAGCCCAGGCCACUGUGAGCCUAGUGCGGUUGGAUGUUUGAAAAUCAUUUUCUCUUGGUAGCAAAACAGCUUGGAACGAGAUGAACAGUAUAUAGAUCAUCGCUUGUUUGCUACAACAACAAAUGGUAAUGGUACAAAUCUUAUUUUUGGAAAGGCCUGCUGUCUGGCAGACACUUCCCCCCUUAAGGUGCUUGUCUGAGGUUCACUGUUGAAUGACUGGAACGAAAGUUGUAGGAUGGCUGUUGUAAUUAACAAAAAUGUGUGUACAAGUUGUAAAGUGCUGUCUGAAUCCCAAAGGGGGUAGGCUGGUGAUGCACGGCACUUACUUAAAAGCCAUAUUGGCCCCAACCCACAGGUUCCUGCAUGUAAAAGCAUGCUCAAUAGCAGGCUGGUUGAUCACCUGUUCAGGGAAAUGGAGCACACAGAGAAAGUUGGAUUGAGUCCCCACUUACUGCUUCUAACAGCUGGUUGGUGCUGCGGAAGCUGGGCCAACUAUUUGAGGGGGGGCUUGCAUGGAAUUGAUCCACGAUGUCUCUCUGCACCCGAUACAGAGUAGGGCCCAAUACAUCCAGGCUCAUUCCUGCUGGAUAAUGGGUUUUCAAAAUACCUUCCAGAAAACAUGGUCAGAUUGCUCACCAGUCUUUUCCUCUUGCUUAAAAAGAGUAAACAUAUAGAGAUAUAUUAUACAUAUCCAUUUCUAAUUCAGUAUCCUUCCGGUGAUGGCAUCUGACUGAUUUCUGAAAUUUCUUUGGGGGUUGGGGUUCUGAGAGAACGGAAGAACUUUAAGAACUACAAAUCAAGAAAGAGAAAACAGUGCCAUUUCCGAAUAU
Non-coding RNA from Podarcis lilfordi (Lilford's wall lizard), 6152 nucleotides. NCBI's taxonomy places the organism in Eukaryota, Metazoa, Chordata, Lepidosauria, Squamata, Lacertidae. The record is from the annotation of a GenBank genome assembly.